Molecule: small nucleolar RNA, 90 nt
Organism: Cheilinus undulatus (humphead wrasse)
Lineage: Eukaryota; Metazoa; Chordata; Actinopteri; Labriformes; Labridae
Product: small nucleolar RNA SNORD60
Exons: 1
Source: RefSeq, a predicted model, not a curated record
AGCCUGUGAUGACAAACUAAAUUUUACUUUUCUGACACCUACUAUGAGAGCUGAACUCCAGCCUCUGAUUCUGAAUUUAAACUGAGGCUC